Pieris brassicae (large cabbage white) is the source of this 1004-nucleotide long non-coding RNA. RefSeq lists it as uncharacterized. The transcript has 2 exons. The record is from RefSeq and is a predicted model, not a curated record. NCBI's taxonomy places the organism in Eukaryota, Metazoa, Arthropoda, Insecta, Lepidoptera, Pieridae.
CCUAUAAAUAAUAGACCUUUAAAAUGUGUUUUAAAUUUAUAAAACUAUUUAUUUAUUAAUUAACCCUUCGUGGGAGUGAUACAGAAAUACAGUACAAUUAAAAUAAUUCAUUAAAAUGGACGACAACUGGCGGCUUUAUUGUACCUUCUAAGCGUCUUCUAAGUCCCUUCUAUGAGAAAAAUAAUUACAAAGUAACGAAGUGUCCCGAGCGGCGACCCACCAUGACAUCGGCGAGGCCGCCGCCACUGAGCGCCACCCAUCCGCCAGUGCCCUCGUCGCGACACAUUACUUGCGCACGAACACGCACCACACACACACUGAAACGUAUAGUACCAUCAUCAACAAUCUUUUAUCAUUAAUAUUCUGACAUUAUCAAAUGUUUUCAUGCAGGACUAAACGUUAAAAUUUGGAUUUCUUUGAAAUCAUACCGAUAUUUCUCGUGCACAAGAUCUGAUUUGACUUAAACAUGUAUGCGGUAAUGUCUAUACUUUUAACUUUACUCCCGAAUAGGACCAAAUUAUAAAAAUUAGGCCGCGAAUUCUCAGCACACAGAAUGAGAGAAAAACCAAAUCUGUAUUUAACGUAUAUUCGACGUAAUAUGGAAACGGUGACGUCCCGUCCUAUUAUAAGAAGUGUUACUUUUCAUAUUAAUUUGUCUUUCUAUAGGUAAAAUUGAGAUGCGAAAGCUCAAGCGCAUCAGGAAUUGUUAGGCAAUAUAAUACUGCAACGUACUUGGUUAACAAAGCUAUUAAAAUAUAGUCAACAAAAUAACUAGGAGCACUUGCCAUCAUGCAGGUGUCCAUGGACAGCAGUUAUCACAUAAUUCUAAUAACCUACUUGUUUGUCUCAUAAAAGUAAUAAAACUCAAAUGUCAAUUCAUACUAAUAUAACAAACUUAAACCACUGUAUAUUCUUUAGUAAUAUCCUUUUAAGAUUUUUUUUCUUAUAAAGCAAUUUGAAACUUUAUACCUCUCAUAAUUAUAUAGUAAAUGUUUUUAACUAAG